This 494-nucleotide ribosomal RNA is filed under the name uncultured bacterium. RNAcentral's name for it is "bacterial SSU rRNA". It matches the Rfam family "Bacterial small subunit ribosomal RNA", at positions 903 to 1397 of the family's 1533-position model. The record is from RNAcentral.
AAAGGAAUAGACGGGGACCCGCACAAGCAGCGGAGCAUGUGGUUUAAUUCGAAGCAACGCGAAGAACCUUACCAGGGCUUGACAUCCCUCUGAAAGAUCGGGUAAUGCCGAUCCCCUCUUCGGAGCAGAGGAGACAGGUGGUGCAUGGUUGUCGUCAGCUCGUGUCGUGAGAUGUUGGGUUAAGUCCCGCAACGAGCGCAACCCUUGCCGUUAGUUGCCAUCAUUAAGUUGGGCACUCUAAUGGGACUGCCGGAGACAAUCCGGAGGAAGGCGGGGAUGACGUCAAAUCAUCAUGCCCCUUAUGUCCUGGGCGACACACGUGCUACAAUGGCCGUCACAGAGGGAAGCGAAGGAGCGAUCCGGAGCAAAACCCCAAAGGCGGUCCCAGUUCGGACUGCAGGCUGAAACCCGCCUGCACGAAGCCGGAGUUGCUAGUAAUCGCGGAUCAGCAUGCCGCGGUGAAUGCGUUCCCGGGUCUUGUACACACCGCCCGU